RNAcentral lists this ribosomal RNA (403 nucleotides) under bacterium. RNAcentral's name for it is "partial 16S ribosomal RNA". It matches the Rfam family "Bacterial small subunit ribosomal RNA", at positions 355 to 776 of the family's 1533-position model. The record is from RNAcentral.
UGGGGAAUACUGCACAAUGGGGGAAACCCUGAUGCAGCGACGCCGCGUGAACGAAGAAGGUAUUCGUAUCGUAAAGUUCUGUCCUAUGGGAAGAUAAUGACAGUACCAUAGAAGAAAGCUCCGGCUAAAUACGUGCCAGCAGCCGCGGUAAUACGUAUGGAGCGAGCGUUGUCCGGAAUUAUUGGGCGUAAAGGGUACGCAGGCGGUUUAAUAAGUCGAAUGUUAAAGAUCGGGGCUCAACCCCGCAAAGCAUUGGAAACUGAUAAACUUGAGUAGUGGAGAGGAAAGUGGAAUUCCUAGUGUAGUGGUGAAAUACGUAGAUAUUAGGAGGAAUACCAGUAGCGAAGGCGACUUUCUGGACACAAACUGACGCUGAGGUACGAAAGCGUGGGGAGCAAACAGG